UAGGAAAAGACUUUUCCUUGAAUGGGGAUG
Molecule: non-coding RNA, 30 nt
Filed under: Mus musculus (house mouse)
Lineage: Eukaryota; Metazoa; Chordata; Mammalia; Rodentia; Muridae
Source: RNAcentral